UACGAGUGGUGCAAGCGUUAUUCGGAAUAAUUGGGCGUAAAGGGUGCGCAGGCGGUAUGCUAAGUCAGUUGUUAAAGACCUCAGCCUAACUGAGGGUCAGCGGCAGAUACUGGCGUACUAGAGGGUGGAAGAGAGAAGCGGAAUUCUUGGAGUAGCGGUAAAAUGCGUAGAUCUCAAGAGGAACACCGAUGGCGAAGGCAGCUUCUUGGUCCACAUCUGACGCUCAUGCACGAAAGCGUGGGGAGCAAACAGGAUUAGAUACCCUGGUAGUCCACGCUGUAAACGAUGAUCACUAGACGUUAGUUCUGCUCUGCAGAAUUAGUGUCGCAGCUAACGCGUUAAGUGAUCCGCCUGGGGACUACGGUCGCAAGAUUAAA
RNAcentral lists this ribosomal RNA (377 nucleotides) under uncultured bacterium. RNAcentral's name for it is "bacterial SSU rRNA". It matches the Rfam family "Bacterial small subunit ribosomal RNA", at positions 524 to 898 of the family's 1533-position model. The record is from RNAcentral.